Molecule: transfer RNA, 65 nt
Filed under: Lomechusini gen. 4 sp. HE-2012
Lineage: Eukaryota; Metazoa; Arthropoda; Insecta; Coleoptera; Staphylinidae
Description: tRNA-Leu
Source: RNAcentral
UUCUAAUAUGGCAGAAUAGUGCAAUGGAGUUAAGUCCCAUAAAUAAAGUAAUACUUUUUUUAGAA